This 253-nucleotide ribosomal RNA is filed under the name uncultured bacterium. RNAcentral's name for it is "partial 16S ribosomal RNA". It matches the Rfam family "Bacterial small subunit ribosomal RNA", at positions 524 to 776 of the family's 1533-position model. The record is from RNAcentral.
UACCGAGGGUGCAAGCGUUGUUCGGAAUUACUGGGCGUAAAGCGUGCGUAGUCGGUAUUGAGAGUCACGGGUGAAAUCCCAGGGCUUAACCCUGGAACUGCCUGUGAGACCUCAGUACUAGAGUGUGAGAGGGGAUAGUGGAAUACCCAGUGUAGCGGUGAAAUGCGUAGAGAUUGGGUGGAACACCGGUGGCGAAAGCGGCUAUCUGGCUCACAACUGACGAUCAGGCACGAAAGCGUGGGGAGCAAACAGG